AUUAAGUUAGUUUUGGAAAAAUUGAAUUGUUUGAGUUAACCUUAGAACAUGUAAAAUUUUAGCAGUUAAAGGCCAGAUUACUAUGAAUUUAUAACAAGUGAACUAGCUGCCCUUUAGUUUCUCAUACAUGUUUUUGUUAUUUUCUUGUUAUUAUCACAAAGUUUCUUAUAUAAAAAAGAAGUUUGUUGGAUUUGAUGGAAAAAAUAAUGGCUUGUCACUUAUAUAAUUUAAUUAUUUGUGUUUAUCAUGUGUCCUGUGUCUA
RNAcentral lists this unclassified non-coding RNA (262 nucleotides) under Hevea brasiliensis (rubber tree). The record is from RNAcentral. Lineage: Eukaryota; Viridiplantae; Streptophyta; Magnoliopsida; Malpighiales; Euphorbiaceae.